Molecule: long non-coding RNA, 1109 nt
Filed under: Papio anubis (olive baboon)
Lineage: Eukaryota; Metazoa; Chordata; Mammalia; Primates; Cercopithecidae
Description: lncRNA (ENSPANG00000047811.1)
Source: RNAcentral
GCAAUUUUACUUCUUGUCUUCAAAAAUUAAAUUAUUUUCUGUAUGAGACAAUACAUUAUUGCUGUCUGUCAGGCAGGUGAGCAAAAAUAUCAGCUAUAAUUAUGUUCAUAGCUUCAGCUUUGGCAUUCUAGUUAAUCUGAAAAACACUCAUUUUCCUAGGCGAUGUUAUGUAACCAGGACUUAGAGUCUGCCAUGGUUCACUGUCAGGUUUUGUCCUACUUAAAUUUCAGCAAGGAGUGUUACGUGACAACUGUGAACAUAUUGCUUUGCCCUGUGUCUGCAAGAGGGAGGCUUUAAAGAGUCUAACAUUUGUCAGAUGAAGCUAUUAUCAGAGGAAACUAUUUUUAGCUUCCUGUUCAUAACUCCAUAUUUCAGUUUUCAGGUGGUGGUGUUAAUAUUAUGCUCUCUGUUUCAACAGAGAAGAGUUUAAGGAUUGUCUCCCCAAACUGAGAAAAUCAACAUGACCCAGGCUGGAGUGCAGUGGUGCAAUCCCGGCUCACUACAACCUCUACCUCCCGGGUUCAAGCAAUUCUCUUGCCUCAGACUCCCGAGUAGCUGGAAUUACAGGUGUUGGAAAAACAGUUCGCAGAGUGCAAGGGUUUGGAAGCGCAGCAGACCAAUUCCAGGCUCCUUCACUCACUUGGAAUUGCAUCGGCUCCUGGGAGGCCAGCUGUGCAGAUUCAAGGAGCACUGUGCAGGGAGCAUUCCUGUGUGCUGGCGGAUUCCUAGUGCCCCACCCCAGGACAAGGCCCAUCGGUUCAAAUAAAAACAAUUUUCAAGAGAUUUUCUGGAAUUAUGAAGACCUGAUAAAGAUUACAUGCUGUCAUCAGAGAGUUUCUUGCAGAAAAAGAAGGACCCAUUUUUCAGUCAACAAGCUACACAAACCAAUAAAAGUGUUCAAUGAAUGUUUGUGGAGUGCUUCAUCAUUUACUUUGCAUGCAUGGAUACUAGACUUGCUCCAGCUGCAGUCUCCUCGCCUUCCCUGUGUUCCAUACAAGAGCCUUGUCUUGGCCAGAACAAUAAGGCAGGGACCUGACCCCUGUCCACACCUCCUCUGCCCUGGGCUGGGUGCCCAGCGUUCCUGCAGGCAGCAUCUCAUGCAUCAUUAG